Non-coding RNA from Trichechus manatus latirostris (Florida manatee), 69 nucleotides. Lineage: Eukaryota; Metazoa; Chordata; Mammalia; Sirenia; Trichechidae. The record is from the annotation of a RefSeq genome assembly.
AUUCUUUUAGUAUUAAAUAGUACAACUGACUUCCAAUCAGUAAGUUUUGGCAACACCCAAAAAAGAAUA